Molecule: long non-coding RNA, 368 nt
Filed under: Pan troglodytes (chimpanzee)
Lineage: Eukaryota; Metazoa; Chordata; Mammalia; Primates; Hominidae
Description: long non-coding RNA NONPTRT012191
Source: RNAcentral
UUAUAACACUUUCCUCAAAAUGAAGCAUCUUGUGUCAAAUUUAAGAAUUAGCACUAACUUUAAAGAGGCAUUGUUUCACUACUGAGUGGUGAAACAGUACUCCAGAAUGUCAUGUAAUAAAAUAUGCAUUUAUUUCUGAAAAUGGUAUUUCAAACACGCACGACUCACAGGAAGUGCUUAAUAAAAAUGUCUCAAUGAAUGUGAAAAUAUGAAUACUUUCCGUAUUAGUCAGGAUCCUCCAGAGCUAGCAACAAAAUAUAGAGAGGCAAGUAUAAACAGAAAUAAGGUUUAUUAUGUGAGACAAGUAGCAAAUGUCUGCUUCUGGCCAGCCACAUAGUUGGCCCUUGCCUUAAAGAAAUCCUGUUUGC